UACGAAGGGGGCUAGCGUUGCUCGGAAUGACUGGGCGUAAAGGGCGCGUAGGCGGAUCAUACAGUCAGGCGUGAAAUUCCUGGGCUCAACCUGGGGACUGCGCUUGAGACGUGUGGGCUUGAGUGGGGAAGAGGGUCGUGGAAUUCCCAGUGUAGAGGUGAAAUUCGUAGAUAUUGGGAAGAACACCGGUGGCGAAGGCGGCGACCUGGUCCUUGACUGACGCUGAGGCGCGAAAGCGUGGGGAGCAAACAGG
This 253-nucleotide ribosomal RNA is filed under the name uncultured bacterium. RNAcentral describes it as "partial 16S ribosomal RNA". It matches the Rfam family "Bacterial small subunit ribosomal RNA", at positions 524 to 776 of the family's 1533-position model. The record is from RNAcentral.